Molecule: ribosomal RNA, 426 nt
Filed under: uncultured Gaiellales bacterium
Lineage: Bacteria; Bacillati; Actinomycetota; Thermoleophilia; Gaiellales
Description: bacterial SSU rRNA
Rfam family: Bacterial small subunit ribosomal RNA
Source: RNAcentral
AGUGGGGAAUCUUGCGCAAUGGGCGAAAGCCUGACGCAGCGACGCCGCGUGCGGGAAGAAGGCCUUCGGGUUGUAAACCGCUUUCAGGAGGGACGAAGCCACUCGGGUUAAUAGCCCAGAGGGUGACGGUACCUCCAGAAGAAGCCCCGGCUAACUACGUGCCAGCAGCCGCGGUAAUACGUAGGGGGCGAGCGUUGUCCGGAUUUAUUGGGCGUAAAGAGCGUGUAGGCGGCCAGGUAGGUCAGCUGUGAAAACUCGAGGCUCAACCUCGAGAUGUCGGCUGAAACCAUCUGGCUAGAGUCCGGAAGAGGAGAAUGGAAUUCCCGGUGUAGCGGUGAAAUGCGCAGAUAUCGGGAAGAACACCCGUGGCGAAGGCGGUUCUCUGGGACGGUACUGACGCUGAGACGCGAAAGCGUGGGGAGCGAA